CAGAGGUCCCAAGCGUUGUUCGGAUUCACUGGGCGUAAAGGGUGCGUAGGUGGCGAGGUAAGUCGGAUGUGAAAGCUCGGAGCUCAACUCCGAAAUGGCAUUGGAAACUACCUUGCUCGAGGGUUGGAGGGGGGACUGGAAUUCUCGGUGUAGCAGUGAAAUGCGUAGAUAUCGAGAGGAACACCAGUGGCGAAGGCGAGUCCCUGGACAACUCCUGACACUGAGGCACGAAAGCUAGGGGAGCAAACAGGAUUAGAUACCCUGGUAGUCCUAGCCGUAAACGGUGCAUGUUUGCUGUAAAAGGAAUCGACCCCUUUUGUGGCGUAGCCAACGCGUUAAACAUGCCGCCUGGGAAGUACGGUCGCAAGAUUA
Molecule: ribosomal RNA, 372 nt
Filed under: uncultured organism
Description: bacterial SSU rRNA
Rfam family: Bacterial small subunit ribosomal RNA
Source: RNAcentral